UUGCUUCAGCAGCACAUAUACUAAAGUUGGAAUGAUACAGAGAAAAUUGGCGUGGGCCCUGUGCACCUUGACAGUUUGAAGGCACGAUGGUUGGAUGUUUUGU
Molecule: small nuclear RNA, 103 nt
Organism: Peromyscus maniculatus bairdii (prairie deer mouse)
Lineage: Eukaryota; Metazoa; Chordata; Mammalia; Rodentia; Cricetidae
Source: Ensembl